CUAUCUGGAAACACACGUAAAAUUCGAUUAGGCAAGAGAAAACAUGAGGGGUCAGCCGUGGGGGGUUGUCAACUUUCGCCACUGCUCCCUGGUCUGUGAACUCACCAUGCCGGGCGGGAGAGCAAUCAAAAGUUUUGAACCAGCACAUACACACAUCAAGGGAUGCCAGCUGCCCAUCCAGCCAGGGAAGCCGAAUACAGGACAUUGUGUAUGAAAGGAACUUCAGAAUCUAAGAAAUUAAGACUACAUCAACUAACAACUAACUCUUUCCAGUGUUCUUGAGCUUGAAAAAGAGAAAAUAGAGAAUCUAACAUCUAUUCUUUUUUAUUCUGACGUGCUCAACAAUCAGUUGUUCAGCCAAAUUUGCUUCCAAUAAAUAUCUUUGAAUUUGCUUAAUUUCUAUUGUUCUCUAGCCAAAAAUCCAAGAGGAGACACAGAAAACUGAGUCAAGUUGCAGGAGAAUGAUCCCAAAGCAACCUCUUUUCAGUUGACACCACUGAGGGGGGGGUUUUUCUGGAUUUAGAUAGUUCUGGUCCCUGCUGCAUGCAAAAGGCAUGUGGACAGUUCCUUAGAACCAGAUGCACUAAGUCUUAAGACCAGCCUGCUUGACAUGACAAACCUAACUUCAACUUCUGUAUUUCAUUCAUAGUUUUUUGACAAAGCAAUAGUUUACCUUCCUAUACUGCAGAUCAUGAACCAGGUCAAAGACCCCUGUC
Corvus hawaiiensis (hawaiian crow) is the source of this 716-nucleotide long non-coding RNA. RefSeq lists it as uncharacterized. The transcript is spliced from 3 exons. The record is from RefSeq and is a predicted model, not a curated record. NCBI's taxonomy places the organism in Eukaryota, Metazoa, Chordata, Aves, Passeriformes, Corvidae.